GACGAACGCUGGCGGCGUGCCUAAUACAUGCAAGUAGAACGCUGAAGGAGGAGCUUGCUUCUCUGGAUGAGUUGCGAACGGGUGAGUGACGCGUAGGUAACCUGCCUGGUAGCGGGGGAUAACUAUUGGAAACGAUAGCUAAUACCGCAUAAUAGCAGUUGUUGCAUGACAACUGUUUGAAAGGUGCAAUUGCACCACUACCAGAUGGACCUGCGUUGUAUUAGCUAGUUGGUGGGGUAACGGCUCACCAAGGCGACGAUACAUAGCCGACCUGAGAGGGUGAUCGGCCACACUGGGACUGAGACACGGCCCAGACUCCUACGGGAGGCAGCAGUAGGGAAUCUUCGGCAAUGGACGGAAGUCUGACCGAGCAACGCCGCGGGAGUGAAGAAGGUUUUCGGAUCGUAAAGCUCUGUUGUAAGAGAAGAACGAGUGUGAGAGUGGAAAGUUCACACUGUGACGGUAUCUUACCAGAAAGGGACGGCUAACUACGUG
Molecule: ribosomal RNA, 495 nt
Filed under: uncultured bacterium
Lineage: Bacteria
Description: partial 16S ribosomal RNA
Rfam family: Bacterial small subunit ribosomal RNA
Source: RNAcentral